GUGGGGAAUAUUGGACAAUGGGCGCAAGCCUGAUCCAGCCAUACCGCGUGGGUGAAGAAGGCCUUCGGGUUGUAAAGCCCUUUUGUUGGGAAAGAAAUCCUGUCGGUUAAUACCUGGCGGGGAUGACGGUACCCAAAGAAUAAGCACCGGCUAACUUCGUGCCAGCAGCCGCGGUAAUACGAAGGGUGCAAGCGUUACUCGGAAUUACUGGGCGUAAAGCGUGCGUAGGUGGUGGUUUAAGUCCGUUGUGAAAGCCCUGGGCUCAACCUGGGAAUUGCAGUGGAUACUGGAUCACUAGAGUGUGGUAGAGGGAUGCGGAAUUUCUGGUGUAGCAGUGAAAUGCGUAGAGAUCAGAAGGAACAUCCGUGGCGAAGGCGGCAUCCUGGGCCAACAUUGACACUGAGGCACGAAAGCGUGGGGAGCAAACAGGAUUAGAUACCCUAGUAGUCC
Molecule: ribosomal RNA, 450 nt
Filed under: uncultured bacterium
Lineage: Bacteria
Description: partial 16S ribosomal RNA
Rfam family: Bacterial small subunit ribosomal RNA
Source: RNAcentral